UACGGGGGGGGGCAAGCGUUGUUCGGAAUUACUGGGCGUAAAGGGCCAGUAGGCGGCCAACUAAGUCGGAUGUGAAAUCCCCAGGCUCAACUUGGGAACUGCAUCCGAUACUGGAUGGCUUGAAUUCGGGAGAGGGAUGCAGAAUUCCAGGUGUAGCGGUGAAAUGCGUAGAUAUGCGGAGGAACACCGGUGGCGAAGGCGGCAUCUGGACCAAUAUUGACGCUGAGGAGCGAAAGCGUGGGGAGCAAACAGG
This 253-nucleotide ribosomal RNA is filed under the name uncultured bacterium. Its description in RNAcentral is "partial 16S ribosomal RNA". It matches the Rfam family "Bacterial small subunit ribosomal RNA", at positions 524 to 776 of the family's 1533-position model. The record is from RNAcentral.